AAGGAUUUAAGUUAAUAUAAACUAUUAACCUUCAAAGUUAAAUAUAGAGAAAAAUUUCUAAGCCUUA
This 67-nucleotide transfer RNA is filed under the name Bruchidius cisti. Its description in RNAcentral is "tRNA-Trp". Lineage: Eukaryota; Metazoa; Arthropoda; Insecta; Coleoptera; Chrysomelidae. The record is from RNAcentral.